Molecule: ribosomal RNA, 492 nt
Filed under: uncultured bacterium
Lineage: Bacteria
Description: partial 16S ribosomal RNA
Rfam family: Bacterial small subunit ribosomal RNA
Source: RNAcentral
AGUGAACGCUGGCGGUAGGCCUAACACAUGCAAGUCGAACGGCAGCACAGUAAGAGCUUGCUCUUACGGGUGGCGAGUGGCGGACGGGUGAGGAAUACAUCGGAAUCUACUUUUUCGUGGGGGAUAACGUAGGGAAACUUACGCUAAUACCGCAUACGACCUACGGGUGAAAGCAGGGGAUCUUCGGACCUUGCGCGAUUGAAUGAGCCGAUGUCGGAUUAGCUAGUUGGCGGGGUAAAGGCCCACCAAGGCGACGAUCCGUAGCUGGUCUGAGAGGAUGAUCAGCCACACUGGAACUGAGACACGGUCCAGAGUCCUACGGGAGGCAGCAGUGGGGAAUAUUGGACAAUGGGCGCAAGCCUGAUCCAGCCAUACCGCGUGGGUGAAGAAGGCCUUCGGGUUGUAAAGCCCUUUUGUUGGGAAAGAAAAGCAGCAGGUUAAUACCCCGCUGUUCUGACGGUACCAAAAGAAUAAGCACCGGCUAACUUCGUG